This 457-nucleotide ribosomal RNA is filed under the name uncultured bacterium. RNAcentral describes it as "partial 16S ribosomal RNA". It matches the Rfam family "Bacterial small subunit ribosomal RNA", at positions 338 to 795 of the family's 1533-position model. The record is from RNAcentral.
CCUACGGGAGGCUGCAGUGGGGAAUAUUGCACAAUGGGGGAAACCCUGAUGCAGCGACGCCGCGUGAGUGAAGAAGUAUUUCGGUAUGUAAAGCUCUAUCAGCAGGGAAGAAAUAAAGUCCUUCGGACUUUGGACGGUACCUGACUAAGAAGCCCCGGCUAACUACGUGCCAGCAGCCGCGGUAAUACGUAGGGGGCAAGAGUUAUCCGGAUUUAGUGGGUGUAAAGGGAGCGUAGACGGCAGCGCAAGUCUGGAGUGAAAUCCCAUGGCUUAACCAUGGAACUGCUUUGGAAACUGUGCAGCUGGAGUGCAGGAGAGGUAAGCGGAAUUCCUAGUGUAGCGGUGAAAUGCGUAGAUAUUAGGAGGAACACCAGUGGCGAAGGCGGCUUACUGGACUGUAACUGACGUUGAGGCUCGAAAGCGUGGGGAGCAAACAGGAUUAGAUACCCUUGUAGUC